This is a long non-coding RNA of Musa acuminata AAA Group (dessert banana), 2030 nucleotides long. RefSeq lists it as uncharacterized. The transcript is spliced from 2 exons. Lineage: Eukaryota; Viridiplantae; Streptophyta; Magnoliopsida; Zingiberales; Musaceae. The record is from RefSeq and is a predicted model, not a curated record.
CCGAUAUAAGGCGAGACUGCGUUCGUCUCGUUUCAUAUGAGCUAUUAAUACGACCCACCGCCCUUUCUCUUCUUCUCUGUGGUUGUGGUUUGCGUUAUCCUUCUUCGAAAUGGCGAGCAUACGGCUGAGUGCGCGACUCCUCGUCUCUUAAUCUUCCCUUGUUCGGAUCGAUCCGGUUUGGAUUUGGGUUCGGCUUUGCUCCUCGCUCUCUGUUGCUCUUUCUCUCUCUCUGGAUAUACGUGGGUGGGGAUGCACCUGCACUUGCCGCAUAAGAUCAUGGCGGGGCACGGGAGGCGGAGGGGGGAGGAGGAGGAGGGGAUCCGGAAGGGGUGGAUGGGGAUUAGGGUGGGCGGGGAGGGGGAGCAGCCGCAGCGGUUCGUGGUGCCGGUGGAGUACCUGAGCCACCCGCUCUUCGUGCGGCUACUCAAGGAGGCCGAGGAGGAGUACGGCUUCGACCACCAGGGGGCGAUCACCAUCCCCUGCCACGUCAAGUACUUCCGCCGCAUCCAGAGCAUCAUCGACCGCGACUGCAACCAGGUUGCCGCCACCGUCAAUUACCACCACCACUUUCACCUUUGCUUCAGGGCUUGAACGAGUCCCUGACUCCGGGUGGGUGUUUGUGCUGGGUUUGGAAAGUGUUAAUUCCAAGAGAAUCCUUCCCUCUCUCUCUCUCUCUCUCUCUAGUCAUUAAGACUGGUUUAACGAUGACAUGAUUUGGUGAUCAAGUCGAAGAAUAUUUCUUGCUCAUUUUAAUUUCGCAUGAGCCAAUUUCAUUCAGCAUGGUCAUAGUUGAACGUUUCACGUUGCUCCCCCACUGCAAAAGAUCAAUGUUCACAGUUGCAAUGGAACUCGUGUGGCACAUUGCAACCUAUUUUAUGACCACAGAAGGCAUCAAAGAUCCAAAUGCUCCUUUCAGUCCGGGAGACCACAUCGCUCACACAUCUGCCGAUGCGCCUAAUCCUGGCCACGGCAACAAGACAAAAGGCUGAAGCUGAUAUGUUCUUGAUGCCUCAGUACGACUGUCUCGGUUCAUUUCCGAGUCCUUAUAAACCACAUUUUACUUGAAUUAAUGGUUAGUAAAAUUUCUUCCUUUUCUGUCAUGAAAUUAUAUUCUGAUUACGACAAUUUGAGUCGGAAAUAGAUCAUGCUAGAUUUCUGGGCGUUUUUGGACAUUUCGAAUGCCAUUAGAUGAUGGUUUGGCACAUUUAACUCGUUCGAUGACAGCAACACCUCACCGGUGUGCCCACCAUGUUCCGCGAAUACCGAGCGAGCCAAUCCGGUCCAUUUCAUCGACGUGAUUUGUGGUCGUUCUCGAUCGUGCCAAAAGGGCGGGCCUAAUCGAAAUGUGGUUCGCUACCACCUCGAUCGAUCGGUUCAUUCCAGCAUACGUUUGGCAACGAUUUCGUGGAGCGAGCGGCCUACGACGGUUAUGAGCGAGGGGGGAUGACUAACAAACAGGGAAGGGAACACAAGAUAUUGAUCGGAGGAAUUCGCAGAAGCAGAAGCGGAGUGUGAUGUUGUUGGCAUCAGUAACAGGGAGCGUUAUGCAAAUGGGUGUUCGACUUGAAGCCUACUCCCUCCGUUUCAGGAGGGACACCACAUCCCUCUCAGAACCGACAACAGCACCGAGGAGGUCGACCAGAAAUGUCAGAUAGCGCUGAGACCAAAUACAUCGCGUUCUCUCUGACAAGGAACGAUUGCGACGCUGCGCUAACCUCGCCUCGCUGCUCGGCAAGGGUGACGGGGAGAGGGCGCCGAUCGUCGACGCUUUGGCUUUGGUCAGCUGUGGUUGGUGCUGUGUUGGCCGUCGAGUUGGAUUGACGCCUCGACUUGCAUGAUAGGUCGAAUCAAUUUUGCCAAGUAGAAUCACCCAACCAUGGUUGCGACAGAAUGGAGUAGGAGAUCGAUAGCAAUCAUCUACGAGAUUCCAGAGGAAAAAAGAAGCGCUCGAUUGUUACCACAAUCGAAACAUCCACCGACGUCAUUAGGAUCGACAUACUACUACUUCGAUCGAUCGACGAUAUCAAUUA